AUGCUACCUGGUUGAUCCUGC
This 21-nucleotide ribosomal RNA is filed under the name Matricaria matricarioides. RNAcentral's name for it is "partial 18S ribosomal RNA". The record is from RNAcentral. RNAcentral also lists the same sequence under 5 other names. Lineage: Eukaryota; Viridiplantae; Streptophyta; Magnoliopsida; Asterales; Asteraceae.